AAUUUGUAUCUAAAAUUAGUUUCAGGCAGACAUGUCCUUUUCUAUCUUCCUUUGUAUUAUAUGGUUGAUGGUGUUCUAUAGACCUGUUAACUAGUUGCUCUGAUUAUUCUGAUCUUAAGUUGAAAUGUUAUCUAUGCAAAGAUUUUUUGGACCCUAAAGUUAGAACUGUUUAGAUUUGGUCACAUGGUUAUUCAGAUCUUAAGUUGAAAUGUUAUCUAUGCAAAGAUUUUUCGGACCCUAAAGUUAGAACUGUCAAGCUUUCGUCACAUGGUUGGAAAUUAUCAGGAAGAGAUCUCAAGUUCAAGUUAGUUUGACAUUAUUAUCAAUUUUGUGUUUUGGGAUAUCUCUUGGCCUGGUUGAAUUUGACAUCUGAUUGUAUAACAAGAAAUAUGGAAGUUAUUGCAAUGCCCUUUUGGCACUUCUAAUUAUUUACUUUGAAACCAACCAAGCUAUCAAAUAACAAGACGAAACUACAAUAUCACACAUCAUUCUCUUAAACUCCCAGUAAUCCUAGUGGAUCAGAACGGACAUAACAAGAAAAUCUCAUUUACAUGAUUAGCCUAUCCAUCUGAUUAAUGGGUUUUCCUCCUUUUAGAUAAUUUAGCCGAGUCAUUUGAUAAUCCAAAUUAUUAGUGAUCAGCCAAUAUAAAGAAUUUGAUAGAAGUAGGAGAUUUAAAUUUUUUGAGUUUGGAUUGGGAUCAUUGAAGAAGGGUGUGAAAACAUUAGGGAAUUGAAAACCUGAGUAC
This is a long non-coding RNA of Telopea speciosissima, 746 nucleotides long. RefSeq lists it as uncharacterized. The record is from RefSeq and is a predicted model, not a curated record. The transcript is spliced from 2 exons. NCBI's taxonomy places the organism in Eukaryota, Viridiplantae, Streptophyta, Magnoliopsida, Proteales, Proteaceae.